RNAcentral lists this ribosomal RNA (406 nucleotides) under uncultured bacterium. RNAcentral describes it as "partial 16S ribosomal RNA". It matches the Rfam family "Bacterial small subunit ribosomal RNA", at positions 28 to 526 of the family's 1533-position model. The record is from RNAcentral.
GUUGAACGCUGGCGGCAGGCCUAACACAUGCAAGUCGCGCGAGCGGCGGACGGGUGAGUACUGUCUGGGAAACUGCCUGAUGGCGGGGGAUAACUCCUGGAAACGGUAGCUAAUACCGCAUACCAUCAGAUGAGCCCAUAUGGGAUUAGCUAGUAGGUGGGGUAACGGCUCACCUAGGCGACGAUCCCUAGCUGGUAUGAGAGGAUGACCAGCCACACGGGAACUGAGACACGGCCCAGACUCCUACGGGAGGCAGCAGUGGGGAAUAGUGGGCAAUGGGCGAAAGCCUGACGGAGCAACGCAGCGUGAGUGAAGAAGGUCUUCGGAUCGGAAAGCACUGUAGGCAGAGAAGCGUUAUCCACAGAGGAAGCACCGGCUAACUACGUGCCAGCAGCCGCGGUAAUAC